AGUGAACGCUGGCGGUAGGCCUAACACAUGCAAGUCGAACGGCAGCACAGUAAGAGCUUGCUCUUACGGGUGGCGAGUGGCGGACGGGUGAGGAAUACAUCGGAAUCUACUUUUUCGUGGGGGAUAACGUAGGGAAACUUACGCCAAUACCGCAUACGACCUACGGGUGAAAGCAGGGGAUCUUCGGACCUUGCGCGAUUGAAUGAGCCGAUGUCGGAUUAGCUAGUUGGCGGGGUAAAGGCCCACCAAGGCGACGAUCCGUAGCUGGUCUGAGAGGAUGAUCAGCCACACUGGAACUGAGACACGGUCCAGACUCCUACGGGAGGCAGCAGUGGGGAAUAUUGGACAAUGGGCGCAAGCCUGAUCCAGCCAUACCGCGUGGGUGAAGAAGGCCUUCGGGUUGUAAAGCCCUUUUGUUGGGAAAGAAAAGCAGCAGGUUAAUACCCCGCUGUUCUGACGGUACCCACAGAAUAAGCACCGGCUAACUUCGUG
RNAcentral lists this ribosomal RNA (492 nucleotides) under uncultured bacterium. Its description in RNAcentral is "partial 16S ribosomal RNA". It matches the Rfam family "Bacterial small subunit ribosomal RNA", at positions 29 to 507 of the family's 1533-position model. The record is from RNAcentral.